This 617-nucleotide ribosomal RNA is filed under the name uncultured bacterium. RNAcentral's name for it is "bacterial SSU rRNA". It matches the Rfam family "Bacterial small subunit ribosomal RNA", at positions 338 to 948 of the family's 1533-position model. The record is from RNAcentral.
CCUACGGGAGGCAGCAGUGGGGAAUUUUGGACAAUGGGCGAAAGCCUGAUCCAGCAAUGCCGCGUGCAGGAAGAAGGCCUUCGGGUUGUAAACUGCUUUUGUACGGAACGAAACGGUCUGUUUUAAUACAGUGGGCUAAUGACGGUACCGUAAGAAUAAGCACCGGCUAACUACGUGCCAGCAGCCGCGGUAAUACGUAGGGUGCGAGCGUUAAUCGGAAUUACUGGGCGUAAAGCGUGCGCAGGCGGUUAUAUAAGACAGUUGUGAAAUCCCCGGGCUCAACCUGGGAAUUGCAUCUGUGACUGUAUAGCUAGAGUACGGUAGAGGGGGAUGGAAUUCCGCGUGUAGCAGUGAAAUGCGUAGAUAUGCGGAGGAACACCGAUGGCGAAGGCAAUCCCCUGGACCUGUACUGACGCUCAUGCACGAAAGCGUGGGGAGCAAACAGGAUUAGAUACCCUGGUAGUCCACGCCCUAAACGAUGUCAACUGGUUGUUGGGUGCAUUAGUACUCAGUAACGAAGCUAACGCGUGAAGUUGACCGCCUGGGGAGUACGGCCGCAAGGUUGAAACUCAAAUGAAUUGACGGCUGAGAGNGCGAGACGACGACGAGGGAGGAGG